GAAGUCUGAAAUGGAUCCCAUGAAUUAUCUCCCCUUCGGUCAUGGUCCACGUCAGUGUUUGGGAAUGAGGCUUGCACAGAUGGAGAUGAAGAUGGCCCUGGCUCGAAUUCUCAGACAGAUUCAAUUUGUGCCUGCACAUGACACAUUGGCAUCUAUCAGACAAGAGGACGUCGAUGUAUAUACAGGAAUAUUCAACACCAAGAAGCCUAUCAUGCUCAGGGUCCAAGUCCGUUCAGACGAGUAAGAUGGCAAAGACCCAGUGUUCUCUGAGCCUGACAGCGCCGACAUCCGCAUCAUCCAGUGUAUUACCUCCCUUGUGUUACAUUAAAACCAGGGACCAUUUCACCAA
Molecule: long non-coding RNA, 349 nt
Organism: Haliotis rubra (blacklip abalone)
Lineage: Eukaryota; Metazoa; Mollusca; Gastropoda; Lepetellida; Haliotidae
Exons: 2
Source: RefSeq, a predicted model, not a curated record